RNAcentral lists this ribosomal RNA (465 nucleotides) under uncultured bacterium. RNAcentral describes it as "partial 16S ribosomal RNA". It matches the Rfam family "Bacterial small subunit ribosomal RNA", at positions 28 to 507 of the family's 1533-position model. The record is from RNAcentral.
GACGAACGCUGGCGGCGUGCUUAACACAUGCAAGUCGAACGGAAAGGCCCUGCUUUUGUGGGGUGCUCGAGUGGCGAACGGGUGAGUAACACGUGAGUAACCUGCCCUUGACUUUGGGAUAACUUCAGGAAACUGGGGCUAAUACCGGAUAGGAGCUCCUGCUGCAUGGUGGGGGUGGGAAAGUUUCGGCGGUUGGGGAUGGACUCGCGGCUUAUCAGCGUGGUGGUGGGGUAGUGGCUUACCAAGGCUUUGACGGGUAGCCGGCCUGAGAGGGUGACCAGCCACACUGGGACUGGGGCACGGACCGGGCUCCUAUGGGAGGCAGCAGUGAGGAAUAUGCAGCAAUGGGGGAUGGCCUAACGGGGCAAUGCGGCGUGGAGGUAGAAGGCCCACGGGUCGUGAACUUCUUUUCCCGGCGAAGAAGCAAUGACGGUAUCUGGGGAAUAAGCACCGGCUAACUCUGUG